CUACGCACUCCUACGGGAGGCAGCAGUGGGAAUAUUGCACAAUGAGCGCAAGCCUGAUGCAGCCAUGCCGCGUGUAUGAAGAAGGCCUUCGGGUUGUAAAGUACUUUCAGCAGUGAGGAAGGUGGGUAUGUUAAUAGCAUACUCAUUUGACGUUAGCUGCAGAAGAAGCACCGGCUAACUCCGUGCCAGCAGCCGCGGUAAUACGGAGGGUGCGAGCGUUAAUCGGAAUUACUGGGCGUAAAGCGCAUGCAGGUGGUUUGUUAAGUCAGAUGUGAAAGCCCGGGGCUCAACCUCGGAAUUGCAUUUGAAACUGGCAAACUAGAGUACUGUAGAGGGGGUAGAAUUUCAGGUGUAGCGGUGAAAUGCGUAGAGAUCUGAAGGAAUACCGGUGGCGAAGGCGGCCCCCUGGACAGAUACUGACACUCAGAUGCGAAAGCGUGGGGAGCAAACAGGAUUAGAUACCCUGGUAG
Molecule: ribosomal RNA, 470 nt
Filed under: uncultured bacterium
Lineage: Bacteria
Description: bacterial SSU rRNA
Rfam family: Bacterial small subunit ribosomal RNA
Source: RNAcentral